GGGCGCGUACUGGUUUCGAUUUUAGGAAUCGGAAUUAAAAUGCAGGUAGAGGUUUAGGUGGGUCUCUUUAAAAAGCCUUAAAAGUAUUAACUGCUAAAACAGCUAAAUACAAAGGUCAUAUCUCUGCUAGAGUUUCUCUAGUCGAGGAGACCGCUUCUGUAGCUUAAGUUCUACAGCGUGAUUACCAUGACACAUCUACUGGAUAAUUGCGUAAUUAGAUGUAUUUUUAUAAAAUCCUUUUCAUUUAAUUUUUUAUAAAAAUUAUUAAGGGUAAAUUUGACCAAGGUUGAAUUUAUUAUUAAAUGAAUAGCUAAAAACCAAUUGUUUAUUCGACUCUUUAGCGAAUCAACGGAAUAAACUAAACUUGUAGUAUUUUAAUUUAAAUUCACUAAAACACGAAGGUUCAACUCCUUCCGCGUCCAA
RNAcentral lists this transfer-messenger RNA (423 nucleotides) under Caulobacteraceae bacterium. It matches the Rfam family "transfer-messenger RNA". Rfam says of the family: Bacterial tmRNA, also known as 10Sa RNA or SsrA, is named for its dual tRNA and mRNA-like properties. Its role is to liberate the mRNA from a stalled ribosome. The record is from RNAcentral. Lineage: Bacteria; Pseudomonadati; Pseudomonadota; Alphaproteobacteria; Caulobacterales; Caulobacteraceae.